This 407-nucleotide ribosomal RNA is filed under the name uncultured bacterium. Its description in RNAcentral is "bacterial SSU rRNA". It matches the Rfam family "Bacterial small subunit ribosomal RNA", at positions 355 to 774 of the family's 1533-position model. The record is from RNAcentral.
UGGGGAAUAUUGCACAAUGGGCGCAAGCCUGAUGCAGCAACGCCGCGUGAGGGACGACGGCCUUCGGGUUGUAAACCUCUUUUGGCAGGGAAGAAGCGAAAGUGACGGUACCUGCAGAAAAAGCACCGGCUAACUACGUGCCAGCAGCCGCGGUGAUACGUAGGGUGCAAGCGUUGUCCGGAAUUAUUGGGCGUAAAGAGCUCGUAGGCGGUUUGUCGCGUCUGCUGUGAAAACCCGAGGCUCAACCUCGGGCCUGCAGUGGGUACGGGCAAACUAGAGUGCGGUAGGGGAGAUUGGAAUUCCUGGUGUAGCGGUGAAAUGCGCAGAUAUCAGGAGGAACACCGAUGGCGAAGGCAGAUCUCUGGGCCGUAACUGACGCUGAGGAGCGAAAGCAUGGGGAGCGAACA